Molecule: ribosomal RNA, 326 nt
Filed under: uncultured eukaryote
Lineage: Eukaryota
Description: partial 18S ribosomal RNA
Rfam family: Eukaryotic small subunit ribosomal RNA
Source: RNAcentral
CCCUUAGAUGUUCUGGGCCGCACGCGCGCUACACUGACGGAGGCAGCGAGCAUGUCCUUCGCCGAGAGGUGUGGGGAAUCUUGUGAGUCUCCGUCGUGCUGGGGAUAGAUGGUUGCAAUUGUCGAUCUUGAACGAGGAAUUCCUAGUAAGCGCGAGUCAUCAGCUCGCGCUGAUUACGUCCCUGCCCUUUGUACACACCGCCCGUCGCUCCUACCGAUUGGGUGUGCUGGUGAAAUGUUCGGAUCGGCCGUUUGUCGCGGUUUCCGCGUCAUGUGGCUGAGAAGUUCAUUAAACCCUCCCACCUAGAGGAAGGAGAAGUCGUAACA